UCGAGGAUAUUUAGCAAUGGGCGAAAGCCUGACUAUGCGACGCCGCGUGAGGGAUGAAGGUUUUCGGAUCGUAAACCUCUUUCGAUGGGGAAGAAACUACCGCCUUAAUCGGCGGAACUGACGGUACCCAGAGAAGAAGCCACGGCCAACUCCGUGCCAGCAGCCGCGGUAAUACGGAGGUGGCAAGCGUUACUCGGAUUUAUUGGGUGUAAAGGGCAGGUAGGUGGUCUUGUAAGUCGGGAGUGAAAUCCCUCGGCUCAACCGGGGAACUGCUUUCGAAACUGCAAGACUUGAGACUAGGAGGGGAGAACGGAAUUCCCGGUGUAAGGGUGAAAUCUGUAGAUAUCGGGAGGAACACCAGUAGCGAAGGCGGUUCUCUGGACUAGUUCUGACACUGAGC
This 400-nucleotide ribosomal RNA is filed under the name uncultured bacterium. RNAcentral's name for it is "bacterial SSU rRNA". It matches the Rfam family "Bacterial small subunit ribosomal RNA", at positions 355 to 751 of the family's 1533-position model. The record is from RNAcentral.